AAUUUUCGGCAAUGGGCGGAAGCCUGACCGAGCAACGCCGCGUGAACGAAGACGGUCUUUGGAUUGUAAAGUUCUGUUACGAGGGAAGAACGGCAGUGAUAGGGAAUGAUCACUGAGUGACGGUACCUCGCCAGAAAGCCACGUCUAACUACGUCCCAGCAGCCGCGGUAAUACGUAGGUGGCAAGCGUUAUCCGGAAUCAUUGGGCGUAAAGGGUGCGUAGGCGGCUUAUUAAGUCUGUAGUGAAAUCGUAGAGCUCAACUCUAUCAAGCUACGGAAACUGGUAAGCUAGAGUGCGGUAGAGGCUAGUGGAAUUCCAUGUGUAGCGGUAAAAUGCGUAGAUAUAUGGAGGAACACCGGUGGCGAAGGCGGCUAGCUGGGCCGUAACUGACGCUGAGGCACGAAAGCGUGGGGAGCAAAUAGG
Molecule: ribosomal RNA, 423 nt
Filed under: uncultured bacterium
Lineage: Bacteria
Description: partial 16S ribosomal RNA
Rfam family: Bacterial small subunit ribosomal RNA
Source: RNAcentral